UCCGGUUGAUCCCGCCGGAGGCCACUGCUAUGGGGGUCCGACUAAGCCAUGCGAGUCAUGGGGCGCCUUGCGCGCACCGGCGGACGGCUCAGUAACACGUCGGUAACCUACCCUCGGGAGGGGGAUAACCCCGGGAAACUGGGGCUAAUCCCCCAUAGGCCUGAGGUACUGGAAGGUCCUCAGGCCGAAAGGGUCUCUGACCGCCCGAGGAUGGGCCGGCGGCCGAUUAGGUAGUUGGUGGGGUAACGGCCCACCAAGCCGAAGAUCGGUACGGGCCAUGAGAGUGGGAGCCCGGAGAUGGACACUGAGACACGGGUCCAGGCCCUACGGGGCGCAGCAGGCGCGAAACCUCCGCAAUGCGGGCAACCGCGACGGGGGGACCCCCAGUGCCGUGGCAUCGCCACGGCUUUUCCGGAGUGUAAAAAGCUCCGGGAAUAAGGGCUGGGCAAGGCCGGUGGCAGCCGCCGCGGUAAUACCGGCGGCCCGAGUGGUGGCCGCUAUUAUUGGGCCUAAAGCGUCCGUAGCCGGGCCCGUAAGUCCCUGGCGAAAUCCCACGGCUCAACCGUGGGGCUUGCUGGGGAUACUGCGGGCCUUGGGACCGGGAGAGGCCGGGGGUACCCCUGGGGUAGGGGUGAAAUCCUAUAAUCCCAGGGGGACCGCCAGUGGCGAAGGCGCCCGGCUGGAACGGGUCCGACGGUGAGGGACGAAGGCCAGGGGAGCGAACCGGAUUAGAUACCCGGGUAGUCCUGGCUGUAAAGGAUGCGGGCUAGGUGUCGGACGAGCUUCGAGCUCGUCCGGUGCCGAAGGGAAGCCGUUAAGCCCGCCGCCUGGGGAGUACGGCCGCAAGGCUGAAACUUAAAGGAAUUGGCGGGGGAGCACUACAAGGGGUGGAGC
RNAcentral lists this ribosomal RNA (894 nucleotides) under Thermococcus sp. SN531. RNAcentral's name for it is "bacterial SSU rRNA". It matches the Rfam family "Archaeal small subunit ribosomal RNA", at positions 1 to 894 of the family's 1478-position model. The record is from RNAcentral. Lineage: Archaea; Methanobacteriati; Methanobacteriota; Thermococci; Thermococcales; Thermococcaceae.